RNAcentral lists this ribosomal RNA (459 nucleotides) under uncultured bacterium. Its description in RNAcentral is "bacterial SSU rRNA". It matches the Rfam family "Bacterial small subunit ribosomal RNA", at positions 30 to 478 of the family's 1533-position model. The record is from RNAcentral.
AUUGAACGCUGGCGGCAUGCUUUACACAUGCAAGUCGAACGGCAGCACGGGUGCUUGCAUAUGGUGGCGAGUGGCGAACGGGUGAGUAAUAUAUCGGAACGUACCCGGAAAUGGGGGAUAACGUAGCGAAAGUUACGCUAAUACCGCAUAUGCCCUGAGGGGGAAAGCGGGGGAUUCGUAAGAACCUCGCGUUUUCGGAGCGGCCGAUAUCGGAUUAGCUAGUAGGUGAGGUAAAGGCUCACCUAGGCGACGAUCCGUAGCUGGUCUGAGAGGACGACCAGCCACACUGGAACUGAGACACGGUCCAGACUCCUACGGGAGGCAGCAGUGGGGAAUUUUGGACAAUGGGCGCAAGCCUGAUCCAGCCAUGCCGCGUGAGUGAAGAAGGCCUUCGGGUUGUAAAGCUUUUUCAGCCGGAAAGAAAACGCACAAGUUAAUACCCUGUGUGGAUGACGGUAC